UACGUAGGGGGCAAGCGUUGUCCGGAUUCAUUGGGCGUAAAGAGCUCGUAGGCGGUUCAGUAAGUCGGGUGUGAAAGCUCCGAGCUCAACUCGGAGAGGCCACCCGAUACUGCUGUGACUUGAGUCCAGUAGAGGAGCGUGGAAUUCCUGGUGUAGCGGUGAAAUGCGCAGAUAUCGGGAGGAACACCAGUGGCGAAGGCGACUACCUGGCCUGUUCUUGACGCUGAGGCGCGAAAGCUAGGGGAGCAAACGGG
This 254-nucleotide ribosomal RNA is filed under the name uncultured bacterium. RNAcentral's name for it is "partial 16S ribosomal RNA". It matches the Rfam family "Bacterial small subunit ribosomal RNA", at positions 524 to 776 of the family's 1533-position model. The record is from RNAcentral.